GACAUGAAGUUAGGUCAGCAAACCCGCUGAAUUUAAGCAUAUAAGUAAGCGGAGGAAAAGAAACUAAAUAGGAUUCCCUCAGUAAUGGCGAAUGAACAGGGAUGAGCUCAGCAUGGAAAUUGGGGCCUGUGGCCUUGAAUUGUAGUCUGGAGAUGUACCACCAACUGGGGCGCAGAUGUAAGCCUCUUGGAAAAGAGCAUCAAUGAGGGUGAGAGUCCCGCUUGGCAUCUGCAGUCCCCAGUGCACGGUGUACCUUCUAAGAGUCACGUUCCUCGGGAUUGGAGCGCAAAUCGGGUGGUAAGUUUCAUCUAAAGCUAAAUAUUGUUUCGAGACCGAUAGCAAACAAGUACCAUGAGGGAAAGGUGAAAAGGACUUUGAAAAGAGAGUUAAAAGUGCCUGAAAUUGCUGAAAGGGAAGCGAAUGGAAUCAGCGUAACUUGGUGAGAUUGCUGCGUGUCAAUGUGAUUGCUUGCUGCUUCAACGUAAGUGUGGUAGUAAGUCUUGAGCAGGACAUGCGCGGUGCUUCUUGCCUUGUGUGUCACCGUCAGUUCGCAGCUGGGGAAAACUUCAAAGACAUGGUAGCCUGUCUCCGGGCGGGUGAAUGUGUUUGCUGGAACUCAUGUGUGGAUUGCUUGGUGACUAAUGGGUUCCAUCUGACCCGUCUUGA
This 666-nucleotide ribosomal RNA is filed under the name Scrippsiella cf. erinaceus. RNAcentral describes it as "LSU rRNA". It matches the Rfam family "Eukaryotic large subunit ribosomal RNA", at positions 1 to 657 of the family's 3401-position model. Lineage: Eukaryota; Dinophyceae; Peridiniales; Peridiniaceae. The record is from RNAcentral.